GCCUUUUGCAUAGGUACGUGGAUAUGCAGGAGAUGGAGGGAUAGAGAUUAUGUGCAGGUAGAUAAGAUUAGUUUAAUUU
Molecule: long non-coding RNA, 79 nt
Organism: Amblyraja radiata (thorny skate)
Lineage: Eukaryota; Metazoa; Chordata; Chondrichthyes; Rajiformes; Rajidae
Exons: 3
Source: RefSeq, a predicted model, not a curated record